Molecule: ribosomal RNA, 301 nt
Filed under: uncultured bacterium
Lineage: Bacteria
Description: partial 16S ribosomal RNA
Rfam family: Bacterial small subunit ribosomal RNA
Source: RNAcentral
CAGCAGCCGCGGGAAUACGAGGGGAGCUAGCGUUAUUCGGAAUUACUGGGCGUAAGGCGCACGUAGGCGGCUUUGUAAGUUAGAGGUGAAAGCCCAGAGCUCAACUCUGGAAUUGCCUUUAAGACUGCAUCGCUUGAAUCCAGGAGAGGUGAGUGGAAUUCCGAGUGUAGAGGUGAAAUUCGUAGAUAUUCGGAAGAACACCAGUGGCGAAGGCGGCUCACUGGACUGGUAUUGACGCUGAGGUGCGAAAGCGUGGGGAGCAAACAGGAUUAGAUACCCGUGUAGUCCCUGUCUCUUAUAC